This 924-nucleotide ribosomal RNA is filed under the name Mycobacterium sp. mycS050. RNAcentral's name for it is "bacterial SSU rRNA". It matches the Rfam family "Bacterial small subunit ribosomal RNA", at positions 30 to 969 of the family's 1533-position model. The record is from RNAcentral. Lineage: Bacteria; Bacillati; Actinomycetota; Actinomycetes; Mycobacteriales; Mycobacteriaceae.
CGAACGCUGGCGGCGUGCUUAACCCAUGCAAGUGCGACGGGAAGGCCCUUCGGGGUACUCGAGUGGCGAACGGGUGAGUAACACGUGGGUGAUCUGCCCUGCACUUUGGGAUAAGCCUGGGAAACUGGGUCUAAUACCGAAUAGGACCAUGGACUUCACGGUUUGUGGUGGAAAGCUUUUGCGGUGUGGGAUGGGCCCGCGGCCUAUCAGCUUGUUGGUGGGGUAAUGGCCUACCAAGGCGACGACGGGUAGCCGGCCUGAGAGGGUGACCGGCCACACUGGGACUGAGAUACGGCCCAGACUCCUACGGGAGGCAGCAGUGGGGAAUAUUGCACAAUGGGCGCAAGCCUGAUGCAGCGACGCCGCGUGAGGGAUGACGGCCUUCGGGUUGUAAACCUCUUUCAGCACAGACGAAGCGCAAGUGACGGUAUGUGCAGAAGAAGGACCGGCCAACUACGUGCCAGCAGCCGCGGUAAUACGUAGGGUCCGAGCGUUGUCCGGAAUUACUGGGCGUAAAGAGCUCGUAGGUGGUUUGUCGCGUUGUCCGUGAAAACUCACAGCUCAACUGUGGGCGUGCGGGCGAUACGGGCAGACUGGAGUACUGCAGGGGAGACUGGAAUUCCUGGUGUAGCGGUGGAAUGCGCAGAUAUCAGGAGGAACACCGGUGGCGAAGGCGGGUCUCUGGGCAGUAACUGACGCUGAGGAGCGAAAGCGUGGGGAGCGAACAGGAUUAGAUACCCUGGUAGUCCACGCCGUAAACGGUGGGUACUAGGUGUGGGUUUCCUUCCUUGGGAUCCGUGCCGUAGCUAACGCAUUAAGUACCCCGCCUGGGGAGUACGGCCGCAAGGCUAAAACUCAAAGAAAUUGACGGGGGCCGGCACAAGCGGCGGAGCAUGUGGAUUAAUUCGAUGCAACGCGAAGAAC